Molecule: long non-coding RNA, 199 nt
Filed under: Hordeum vulgare
Lineage: Eukaryota; Viridiplantae; Streptophyta; Magnoliopsida; Poales; Poaceae
Description: long non-coding RNA (HVUL_LNC003437)
Source: RNAcentral
CUACCAACCCUUCCCCUCGGAAUAUGCGUUUAGCACUUUGUUUCGAUUAGUAAUAAAAACUUUCGCAACAAGUAUGUGAGUUCUUUAUGACUAAUGUGAGCCCAUGGUAUAGAUGCACUUUCACCUUCCACCAUUGCUAGCCUCUCUAGUGCCGUGCAAUUCUCGCUGGUAUUCAAACCCACCAAAUUCCUUCCUCAAA